Molecule: ribosomal RNA, 430 nt
Filed under: Actinomycetes bacterium
Lineage: Bacteria; Bacillati; Actinomycetota; Actinomycetes
Description: Actinobacteria bacterium partial 16S ribosomal RNA
Rfam family: Bacterial small subunit ribosomal RNA
Source: RNAcentral
UAGGGAAUCUUCCGCAAUGGGCGAAAGCUUGACGGAGCAACGCCGCGUGAGUGAUGAAGGUCUUCGGAUCGUAAAACUCUGUUAUUAGGGAAGAACAAAUGUGUAAGUAACUAUGCACGUCUUGACGGUACCUAAUCAGAAAGCCACGGCUAACUACGUGCCAGCAGCCGCGGUAAUACGUAGGUGGCAAGCGUUAUCCGGAAUUAUUGGGCGUAAAGCGCGCGUAGGCGGUUUUUUAAGUCUGAUGUGAAAGCCCACGGCUCAACCGUGGAGGGUCAUUGGAAACUGGAAAACUUGAGUGCAGAAGAGGAAAGUGGAAUUCCAUGUGUAGCGGUGAAAUGCGCAGAGAUAUGGAGGAACACCAGUGGCGAAGGCGACUUUCUGGUCUGUAACUGACGCUGAUGUGCGAAAGCGUGGGGAUCAAACAGGA